This 322-nucleotide long non-coding RNA is filed under the name Phoenix dactylifera (date palm). Its description in RNAcentral is "long non-coding RNA (PDAC_LNC007020)". The record is from RNAcentral. Lineage: Eukaryota; Viridiplantae; Streptophyta; Magnoliopsida; Arecales; Arecaceae.
UCCCAAUCCGUUGCAAUUGGCUUUUCGACCUGCAAUGAAGAUAUAAAUUUAUGGACAGUGCUCUCAAGUAAUCUCAAGGUAGACAAACAGAAAGAAGGUAUGAAUAGACGUGAGGACUCCAUGGCUACAAAUUUUCAUGCAUAUGUUCUAGUUUGUUGGCAAUUGUUGACUCAGAAAUGAACUAGUGAGAAACUGUCAAGCAGGUGAUCAUACCACGGCAGACUGUCUCACAUUUGGGUGAGUUGCAGUCCAGAAAGCAUCCUUUGGCUUUUGGGUCCGAUGGUUUUGCAACCGGGCACUCCUUCGGGCAUCCAACCUGCUU